Molecule: long non-coding RNA, 4657 nt
Filed under: Homo sapiens (human)
Lineage: Eukaryota; Metazoa; Chordata; Mammalia; Primates; Hominidae
Description: long non-coding RNA NONHSAT185728.1
Source: RNAcentral
UAAAGGCAAGCGGCUCUCACAUCCUAAGGUAUUACCCAGCAAAAGGCAGCCUCAGGAGGCAGCCCACUGAAGACCUUCAAGUCCACGAAGACAAUGUAUGGAUUGUUCACUAAAACUGAGGAAUGAUUUUCAAAUAAUCUGUCGCCAGAGGGCCAAUCCAGGCUUCAGGCUCCAGUGUGUAUGGAGGAGCUGCCACUGCAGAGACGCUGGCUUAGGGGGCUGGGGGAUGCCUCCUUUGAAUUCUGGGCCCACCACUGACAACACUUCUCUUCUUGGAGAAAAGAUGACGAGAAGGAGAGGUCUUAGAACACAUCCUUAUCUGAAGGACAGGAUACAGUCUUGUUUUAGGAAACUCCAGCUGCUCUGUGUCAUUGAAAGGGAAGAGGAGAGACCAGAUGGUCCAAGUUCGCCAUGGCACUGGUAAGGACCUGAGACUGACUGCAGGCCCUUCAUGAAAGCAAAGCCUGGGUGUGUUAUAACCGCCAGUCCCACUCUCCCACAGUGAGGUCCAUCCCGGCAGGGGCUGAGUCCACCUUGACCACUGAGACAAACAGACCUGGUGAUGGACUCAGUGUUUUUAAAUUGUGGAGCUUGGACAGGGAGGGGCGAGAUGGAGAACGAGGUAUACACAAAAGAGAACAAUGUGAUGAGGGCAUGAAGUGUGCUUACCAACCUUCCCUCACUCAGAGGCUGGAAGAGAUUUUAGAGCUUAACAGAAAAAGAGUGGGAAGAGGACACUGCUGGGCAAAAGACAUGAACUAAAGACUUCUCGGCUGUCCCCAUCAGUGGCACGGUGGUCUCAGCAGUACCGAUGUGGAUACUCAAGAACGUGAGGCUACCGUGGAAAUGCUUUGCUUAAACCACACGUUGAGUUUCCAAGGAGUGAAGAUCCCCAGGGAAAGCAUCUAGGACCCUGCCAUGUUGGCCCAGCUCUGGGAAGUCAAUCGACGUGGACCCCUUACUGUGUUAACUGCUAAUCAGCCUUCUGUAAAAAUGAUAUUGCAAAUUCGUUGGUCCCCUGCCAAACCCAGAGGCUAUAAAUAGGAUGGCAGAGACAGUAACCCAUCAGCACACAUGAAAGGAGAACCUGUCUCCAUCAAGUCAUUUUUUUUCUAUAUUCCCUGCAACAAUAUUUCGAGUUCAGAAACCUGUCAAAGAGAUUAGUUGGAAAAAUCCCUUGCCUCAGAAGAAAGGGAAAUCUCCAGAAACAUCCAGCAUCAUAAUUCAUACAGCCUGGUGAAAAGUGCGGAUACAGAAUUGGAGGAAAUAGCAGCAUGGGCACCACCCUGAGAAUGAGCCUAGGGGAACCAGAGAGAAAGCCUUUACCACACCAAGCCACUCUGUUCUCACGGUUCUCAGGAUAUUUUCUUAAGUUGCCACGUCCUUGCCCCUGUAACUUUGGAGACUUGCCCUUUGAUCUGGAGAGUGGCCUCCUGAGGAGGACAGGAUCCGCAGGUCAGAAAGAACCAAUGGCAUGCAAAUAGUGGCACCAGGCAUCAUGGUCACCUGCCACCACGCCCUCCUGCAACCAGGCCGGCACUGACCUUGCUGUCGUAAUCGGAUGUGUUCACACACGUGUGGAUCACAUACAACAGUGAGUCUACCAGCCCCUCGCAGGACCGCAUUUGCUUCCGAGCUUCUUCCCCCGCGGAGCUGAGGUUCCUAAAGGGGUGGAGACAGGAGGAGCUGCUGAGAUGAACCAUGCACUCAUCAGCCACGUGGACUUAACCUUAAGGAUCUGAGAGAGCGAACAACAGGUGGCAGCCACUUAGAGGUCGGAGGAGGCACUGGGGGCUUGCAUGGUAACAUCCUGAAGCUCACAAUGAUGGCCCGCUCCCCAUUAUCCACACAUGGAAGGGAACCUGCACAUUUGGACUGUAUCUCUCUCAUGACGUGUCACUUUCUAAUUCCCUCAUAUAAUUCUUUAGGGGCCUAUUCUCCUGAGGUUCUUCAUAUGUAAAAGGGGGAAAAUAACAGUAACUACCUCACAGGGUUGCUGUGAAGAAGAAACGAGUUGCUACAUAGAAAGCAAUUAGAAAAGUGCCUCCUUCCCAGAAGGUGGCCUGCUGUCAGUCAUGGUGGUGGCUACUACUAGACAUGCUUCACCUCCCUUGUUAGGCCAGAAGCUUCUUGCAGUCCCCUGGGCCUAUUAUAAUAUUUUGCGUGCAGUAAGUAGGUGGUCAUUAAAUGUUUUUUGGAUGAACAGAGGAAACAUAUAAUUUCUUGUAUUAUAAACAUUUCAAGUUAAAUAUAGAUAUUUGCUUAUGCUAAAACUUUUCUGAUCUUUUCAAUUAUAAAACACCCAGAAAACGGUUUUGUGUCUAAAUUUUUUUAUAUCAAUUUGCCUUCAUAAAUUGAUACCAAAUAAGGAUCUAUUUUAUGUCCCAUUAACAAUGGUUCUAGGCUAACUGUAAAAUUAUGCAAAUUGAGAAUUUGCAAAACUGUGACUAGAUGAGGGGGCGGUGGAAUGGCGGCUCUCAUCUGCCCUGCCUCUCCGCAGCACUUUCCUUUUCUCCACAGCUUCUGGGACCCCACCUGGCUUCUCUCUCACCUUGCUACUUCUCAGACUCAUCUGCCCAUGGGCACCUCCAGGAGUGCCCCAGGUCCUGUCUUGUCUUCAUCUUUGCACUCUCCAAGGUGCCUUCUGCUCCUUGUCUUUAAUACAACCUAUGGACACAGGGCCAUAGGUUGGCACACAUCUGCCUUUAGCCCUGACUGCUCUCUAGAAUUGCGGAUUCUUUUCUCCAAUGCUUUCUUGACACUGGCACAUAGACAGCUAAUUAGACUUCUCAAACUGGACAUUGUCAAAACUCUGAGCUGCUCACCCUUCCAAGCAUUCCUGUCCCUUCCCCCCAUCAACAGCACUUCUGUGCUUGCAGCUGAUCCAGCCAAAGAUCUAGGUGUAUCCUUAUUUCCCCCCUUUCCUCGCUCUUAAUAUUCGAUCUAUUAGCAAGCCUUGUCAGCUCUUCCUCCACAAAAUAACCCAAAUCUGCCUACCUCACCCCAGCACCUGGUUUAGGCCACUCUCACUGUUUGCCUGGAUCUCUGCAACAGUCUGAUGUUCCUGUCUCUACUUCUGCCUGUACUCACUCCUCCACACUGCAGCCAGAAAUGAGGCCCACUACUCCACUGCUUAGAACACUCUGAUGGUUUCCCAUGGCACUUGGAAUAAAAUGCAAACCCCAUCUGACUUACAAAAUCCUAUAUAAUCUGGUACCACUCUGCCCUUUGCUCAGUAGGCUACGGCUGCAAGCUCAUUUCUGCUCCAGAACCUUUACCUUAACCAUUUCCUUGACUGGCCUAUGACUCUUGUCUUCCCCAACACCACCCUCUAGUGAGUCACUCCUUGUGGUAUUUCAGAUGUAGGCUUAAAUUUAAACUCCUUGAGAGACCCCCUGACCACCAAAGUAACCAUUCAAUAACCCUCACAUCACCCUAUUUGUUUUUAUGGCACCUACUGUUAUUUUCUUGUUUCCUUGUUUGUCUGUCUUCCUGGUAGAAUGUGGUUCCAUCAGAGCAGGGAUCUAGUCUGUUUUAUUCGUCACUGGUUUCACACAGAGGGCAUUCACCAAAUGUUUCUAUCCCUGACCCACUGGGGGAGCUACAGUGAGUCCUGCCCCAGGCUCUCCCUGAAGCCUAGCUGGCUGGCUGAGGAGUAAUCCUAGCUCCCUGGAUGAUUGCUAGGCCAUGAGACCCACCCUGAGAUGUGGGCAUCUGAAUUAGGAGGAGCUGGCCUGCAUUCUGGGAUCCUGACUCUUGUUACCUCCCCACCAACACUGCCCCCUGACCAGGGCCGAUAGCCACCUGUCUCAAUGCUAGAAGGCUGCAGACCAGCCACACAAGCUUUGCUCUCUUUCAGGCUGCCUGUCUUGGUGAUGCUAGAUGUUAAACAGCACUCACUGAGUGCUCAUGCGAUGACACUGUGCUAAGCACCUUCCACAAGUACCUGCUGACCCCUCACAGCUCUGAGGUGGUAUUAUCAUCCCUAUUCUACAGAUGAGGAAACGGAGGCUCAAACGGGUCCUGGAAGCCAGGUGGUCUGAGACCAGAGCCCACUCUCUCUGUCCCUGUGCCACUCUGCCCUAAGGCUUGCUUCCAGUUCCCAGGGUACUGUAAGGCUGGGAAAUAGGGUCAAAAUGGAGCUGAUGAGUGUUAAGGGCAAAUAAUGAACUCUACUGUGCACACUCGAAAGAGGCUUUAUAUAUAGAUUUUAACUGUAAAAGAUAAUGACUAAAAAAGUAUUUGGGCUCAUUUUCACUUAUUUAUACAACUUGAAACUGAUUGUUUAAAUCACACACCUCUUUAAAAGCAAAAUGGUUUUAACCAUCACAUUUUGAAUUUAAACAAACAGCAGGCUGCAAACACAUUAGCAAUCAGAAUGCGAUUACCAGAAAAAUGCUGUUAAAGUGGAAAACACUGGAAUUUUGGCAGUAAUCUUAGACUGAAAGGGCCUUUCUGAGUAAGUCACAGAAGAGUCAUUUACAAGAUAACUUCUUUAAGGCCACAAGUCUGUGCUCACGAUGUUUUUCUCCCAGAAUAACAAAGUCCAGUGGCCUAAAUUUUGAAAUAAAAACUGGAAACUUAGAUAGAUGUUAAUAAAGUAAGUCCUCCUAAAAUCAAUUUACCUAUGACACAUAUUUAAUCACAGAAUUAACUG